UGGCUACAGUCGCAUGGAAUGAGACUUAAGAAAGGAAAGGUAGGCAAAAGAAAUUUCUUAACAACGUAUUUUACUGCAACUUUACAUUCACAAACUUGACCGCUCCAUUGAUCUUUGUUCGUAUCUUAUCUUGCAGAAAAAGACGGUUGCGAUGGCCAAGAUCUCCUUGCCAUCGCCCAAGAUGCAGACGUACCAAGGCACUACAUCCCUAUUAUAAAAGAGCGUCUAAAGCUCAAGAAAUUGAUUGCAAUGAACGCUGAACCUAGAGAUGACACGAGUUCUUCGUCGCGUGCAGAAUCAAGUCCUUCGAGUAAGACGGUUCAAACGUCGAUUGAUGAUUCAAAUAACAUCAGCGAUUAUGGAAAUUUAGAGGUGACAUUGGCACCGAAAGAAAAGGGUAAAUCGCCCAAGGAUCUCUGUUUUACGGACGAGGCGACAGAACUGAGCACUGUCUAAGUUCCUCCUGAAUGGCUUUCAAAAUUCCAACUACCAUCGAGGUUCUCUGCCUCAGUAGAGUUGGAUACCAAGAAGGGAUAUCUCAUCAGCAGCCUAAAGUACUCUGAGAAACAGUGGAUUGCAAAAAAAAAUUAUUGCAGAGUAGCCUUGUAUGGUUAGCAGGAUACUAGACUAAGUUGACUUGGAAACUGAAUGGAUUGGUAUGGUCUAAAAAUCUAUUGCUUCACCUCUUAAACUAAAAAGUUGCAAAAUAAUCACUCUCACCUUUUAAGUUCAUGACCUUUGUUCUUGUGUGUUUGUCAUCACAUGCAUUUAAUGAAGUUGUGACCAUUUUGGAGGUACAAGUCCAAAAAACUGCUACUUUGGUACUAAGAUGAACAGCUAAAAUUUCUGAGCCCAUUUGCCAAUGAAGUCCAGAUACAAAGGUUCAAGUACUUUGGGGUUGUAUUAAUUUUGCCUUUUUGUUUAGUUUUUUUGAUUUUGCAAUUUUUUAAAAUAUUCCUGUUGUCAAACCAUUAGAUAAAUAUUGGACAUAGAAUAGCUGAUUUUUUUCAGAUAUUUUGGGAGUCAUACAUUACUUUUUCAAGUCUUGAAUGGGAGACAAAUUACACACAUUGAGCUAAACUUCCACUUCCAUUUCUGGUGUUUUAGCUUGUAGUUUUAGAAAAACAAUAUAUAUAUAUAUGUAAAUGUGGGGGUAGAGUCUACCUUGGCAUAAAGUGCUCAAUGCUGUGGUAGCAGAGCUAAGUAUACAUAAGUUAAAGAAUUAAA
This is a non-coding RNA of Pocillopora verrucosa, 1227 nucleotides long. The record is from RefSeq and is a predicted model, not a curated record. Lineage: Eukaryota; Metazoa; Cnidaria; Anthozoa; Scleractinia; Pocilloporidae.